CCCUUAGAUGUUCUGGGCCGCACGCGCGCUACACUGAUGCAUUCAACGAGCCUAGCCUUGACCGAGAGGUCCGGGUAAUCUUUGAAACUGCAUCGUGAUGGGGCUAGAUUAUUGCAAUUAUUAAUCUUCAACGAGGAAUGCCUAGUAAGCGUGAUUCAUCAAAUCGCGUUGAUUACGUCCCUGCCCUUUGUACACACCGCCCGUCGCUCCUACCGAUUGAGUGUGUUGGUGAGGAGUUUGGAUUGGCCUCGGAAGGUGGUUCGCCACCGUCCGUAGCUGAGAAGUUCUCCAAACCGCCCCACUUAGAGGAAGGAGAAGGUGUAACA
Molecule: ribosomal RNA, 326 nt
Filed under: uncultured eukaryote
Lineage: Eukaryota
Description: partial 18S ribosomal RNA
Rfam family: Eukaryotic small subunit ribosomal RNA
Source: RNAcentral